RNAcentral lists this ribosomal RNA (611 nucleotides) under Symbiochloris sp. CAUP H8603. RNAcentral describes it as "eukaryotic LSU rRNA". The stretch from base 197 to 350 matches the Rfam family "5.8S ribosomal RNA". Lineage: Eukaryota; Viridiplantae; Chlorophyta; Trebouxiophyceae; Trebouxiales; Trebouxiaceae. The record is from RNAcentral.
UCGUCGCGGCGCGCGAACGCGCGUCGUCGGGCGGGCCCCUCCGGCCGAUCGGGGAGAACCUCCCGACUGAUCGGGCCACGGGCCGCUCAACCUGGUGGGGGCCCGUGGUGGUGUUACCAAUCGAACCUGGAAACCCGCCCUGAAGCGUCGUCCGACUCGAGGGCGAAAGCCCGGUCGGCAGGAACACUCGAAAGACAACUCUCAACAACGGAUAUCUUGGCUCCCGUAACGAUGAAGAACGCAGCGAAAUGCGAUACGUAGUGUGAAUUGCAGAAUUCCGUGAAUCAUCGAGUCUUUGAACGCAAAUUGCGCCCGAGGUUUCGGCCGAGGGCAUGCCUGCCUCAGCGUCGUUCCAACCCCUCUCCCACCCUUUCGGCUUCCGGCCGGAUGGGGGGAGGAUCUGGUCGUUCCGAUCCACACGAUCGGAUCGGCCGAAAUGCAGAAGGGCCCGCGCUCGAAAGGGCCGCCGACAGGUAGUCGAAGCCAUCGGCGGUCGAGUGUCGGAGGACCCUCCCACAGUCGGAGAACCUCACGGCUUUGACCUGAGUUCAGGCAAGGGCACCCGCUGAACUUAAGCAUAUCAAUAAGCGGAGGAAAAGAAACUAACCAGG